Molecule: ribosomal RNA, 328 nt
Filed under: uncultured eukaryote
Lineage: Eukaryota
Description: partial 18S ribosomal RNA
Rfam family: Eukaryotic small subunit ribosomal RNA
Source: RNAcentral
CCCUUAGAUGUUCUGGGCCGCACGCGCGCUACACUGACGGAGACAACAAGCCUAUCCUUGGCCGAGAGGUCCGGGUAAUCUUUGAAAUUUCAUCGUGAUGGGGAUAGAUUAUUGCAAUUAUUAAUCUUCAACGAGGAAUUCCUAGUAAGCGCGAGUCAUCAGCUCGCGUUGAUUACGUCCCUGCCCUUUGUACACACCGCCCGUCGCUCCUACCGAUUGAAUGGUCCGGUGAAAUGUUCGGACCGCGACAAGGCGGACGGUUCGCUGUCAGCUUUGCUGCGGGAAGUUCAUUAAACCUUAUCAUUUAGAGGAAGGAGAANUCGUAACA